ACGGUUAUCUCCCGAUAUUCCCUUAUUCUCGUAUUUCCUUGGACACUCGCGAAUCAGAGAAAAUUCUUUACGAAACAAGCAUAAAUACGUAAAAGAUAUGUUUAUAGGUAGGACGCCCGUUCGACAACACGAUUCCCGCGAUUCUGUGCGAAUGGAACGCAGGAAUGAAAGGAAUUGGAAGGGGGAACGAAGGAAUUUUUUUUAAUGUGAUGAAGUCGUGGGCAAGUGGUCACAUAGUUACACUUGUAUGUGCACGCGUAGAAAAAAGGUACACCUACUCGAAUUUCUCCAUGGAAAACUUCAUUUUCUUCCUUUGUCGGUCAUCGUUUUGAUUUUGUGUGAUUUGCAUUUAUUUUCCCUUUUUUUUUUAUAAAUGGGGUUACGUACAAGUAUAUUCUGUAUACGGUCGUGUACAGCCGUGAUUAUGAGAGGUGACCUUUGGCCUCGGCGCAGAUCCUGCAGAGAUAUCAGUUUCGUUUUCACCGUGACGCAGUGGUACGCGCGCACACAUCGCAGUACACGCCUUUUGCCUUUUGCCCGUUGUCGGAGCAACACUUAAUUUGUCCGUCCACUUGUGCCCUCGCCGCGGGACGUUCAUUGGCCGCCGUGUAGCCAAGGAUGAAGAUUCGAGGGAGAACCGUGAGAGGCCGCGAAGGACGCCAGUGAAAGUGCUCCAUGGAUCUAUUUACUCAACGGGAAAUAAGCCUUUGUGUGCAGAUUUCUAUGCCGAUCAUCUACUAUGCAAUAUUGCCGAUAUCGUACAACGCUCGAAUAGAUGAAUAAGUGGUAUCGCGCACAUCAGACGUUUAAUUUUAAUCGAUGCCGAGAUUUAUGGUAAGUAUACAUGUGGAUAUUGUUUGGUACUUGAAUGGUAUGUUUUGGUAUUCGAUCAUGAGAAACAGAUAAGGUGAAGGUAUUACCGAGCGUUUAUCGUAUAUACAGCUAUUUAUCACCCGAUGAAAUUCUACUAGCCUGUGACAAUUUUCUAAUCGUCGAUUUAUGUUUUCCAGUGUCAAAGGUUAAUUUUAUGUAAAAUGUAUUUCGUGUGAAAAUUAUAGCGCCACGUGCCACUUAAUCCUAAUCGGAUAUUGUUUGUUAUUCGAUCGAUCAUUCGCAUUAGAUAAACUGCAAGUAAUAGUACGUGUUUAUUGCACGCAUGUUUAUUUAUCACCUGGUGAAAUUCUACUGACCUGUGACAGAUUUUCUAAUUGAAAUUUCAUGUUUUCAUGUCUAUUUUGACGUAAUGGAAGAUUUAUGUAUUCAUGCAGGGAUUAUAACGUAUACGGUUUCUGAUAAUAGAAGGUCGGGAUGGAAGAAGAAAUAAUAAUGAAAAGGAAAUUGAUGAAAUCCUCUAUAUUUCUCUUCGUGAAAUGUUGUAUUAGCACAGCAUCGAUUCUCAAUAGGUCAUGUGAAUUUUUCAAAAAUAUUUCAGCCACGUCAAUUAAAAUAAUUUCUUGCUACGUUACGUUUUGAAUGACAAUGUUUAUUUUCGAUGAGCACGAAAGGUACUUGUACAUUAUAUUGUAGCAUUUACGUACCUACAUCAACCAGGUCCGAGUACCUACAUUAAAUUUCGCACUAUUUUAAUGGUAUUUUCAUGUAAUUAUAAAAAUUUGGUACUUGAUAAAAAGUCGUUUCAUUGGAAAAUAAA
Molecule: long non-coding RNA, 1651 nt
Organism: Bombus pascuorum
Lineage: Eukaryota; Metazoa; Arthropoda; Insecta; Hymenoptera; Apidae
Exons: 3
Source: RefSeq, a predicted model, not a curated record